CCCUUAGAUGUUCUGGGCCGCACGCGCGCUACACUGACGGAGGCAGCGAGCAUGUCCUUCGCCGAGAGGUGUGGGGAAUCUUGUGAGUCUCCGUCGUGCUGGGGAUAGAUGGUUGCAAUUGUCGAUCUUGAACGAGGAAUUCCUAGUAAGCGCGAGUCAUCAGCUCGCGCUGAUUACGUCCCUGCCCUUUGUACACACCGCCUGUCGCUACUACCGAUUGAAUCGUUUAGCGAGAAUUUUGGAUCGGAGCCCUGGUGGGCAGCGAUGUCCGCCUGGGAUUUACCGAGAAAUCAUUCCAGCUUGCCGAUUUAGAGGAAGUAAAAGUCGUAACA
Molecule: ribosomal RNA, 332 nt
Filed under: uncultured eukaryote
Lineage: Eukaryota
Description: partial 18S ribosomal RNA
Rfam family: Eukaryotic small subunit ribosomal RNA
Source: RNAcentral